CACCGCCUGGGGAGUACGACCGCAAGGUUAAAACUCAAAUGAAUUGACGGGGACCCGCACAAGUAGUGGAGCAUGUGGUUUAAUUCGAAGAUACGCGCAGAACCUUACCAACACUUGACAUGUUCGUCGCGACUUUAAGAGAUUAAAGUCUUCGGUUCGGCCGGACAAAACACAGGUGCUGCAUGGCUGUCGUCAGCUCGUGUCGUGAGAUGUUGGGUUAAGUCCCGCAACGAGCGCAACCCUCACUUUUAGUUGCCAUCAUUUAGUUGGGCACUCUGAAAGAACUGCCAGUGAUAAGCUGGAGGAAGGUGGGGAUGACGUCAAGUCCUCAUGGCCCUUACGUGUUGGGCUACACACGUGCUACAAUGGCAUUUACAAUAGGAAGCAAGAUGGCGACGUCAAGCAAAUCCUAAAAAGAUGCCUCAGUUCGGAUUGUACUCUGCAACUCGAGUGCAUGAAGCUGGAAUUACUAGUAAUCGCGGAUCAGCGCGCCGCGGUGAAUGCGUUCCCGGGUCUUGUACACACCGCCCGUCACACCAUGGGAGUUGGUUCUACCUUAAGGCAAGGUUUUAAACCCUUGACCACGGUAUAGUCAGCGACUGGGGUGAAGUCGUAACAAGGUAGCCGUAGGGGAACCUGCGGCUGGAUUACCUCCUUUCUGAGGAUGAAUAAAAUUCGUUUUUAUUCUAAAUAAUAUAACAGGUUAAUGUUGACCGUCCUCAUUUCUCUUCUUGAAAUAGUGUUUCUCUCUUCUACGUAGGGGCCGGUAGCUCAGUUGGUUAGAGCACACCCUUGAUAAGGGUGGGGGUCGAAAGUUCGAGUCUUUCUCGGCCCACCAAAUUAACUGGGGGAUUAGCUCAGCUGGGAGAGCGCCUGAUUUGCAUUCAGAGGUCAGCGGGUCGAUCCCGCUAUCCUCCACCACGAAACACUUAGUUAUUUUAAUUGUGAAAAUUUUUUAUAUUAUCAAUAUCUAUAUCCGAUUGUUCGAAUAGAUGAACAAUCAAUAAAUAAUUCGAAAAGAUGAAUAUUUAAUAAAAAAAUUGAUUCACACAGAAUUUUUUUCUG
This 1065-nucleotide small RNA is filed under the name uncultured Pelagibacterales bacterium. RNAcentral's name for it is "bacterial SSU rRNA". The stretch from base 1 to 658 matches the Rfam family "Bacterial small subunit ribosomal RNA", at positions 867 to 1533 of the family's 1533-position model. The record is from RNAcentral. Lineage: Bacteria; Pseudomonadati; Pseudomonadota; Alphaproteobacteria; Candidatus Pelagibacterales.